Molecule: long non-coding RNA, 1900 nt
Organism: Zingiber officinale
Lineage: Eukaryota; Viridiplantae; Streptophyta; Magnoliopsida; Zingiberales; Zingiberaceae
Exons: 2
Source: RefSeq, a predicted model, not a curated record
AUUGGCAGUGAUACAAAAUUUCCAGGCUUCUUGUUGCUGCAGAAUUCUCUGCUGCACACUUGUUCCAUAUAAAUCCCAAAAUUUCAGAGAUUCCAAAUUCAUAUUCAGCAAGAAAUUAAAGGCUUACAGCACAGAUUUAUAUAAAUCUGUCUAUUCCUUUUAUAUAAGACAUAGAAACACAAGGACACCAUUUGUAACUGAAAUUCAAGAGCUUCAAUUGAGUUCAUAAUUAUUUUGAAGUUCUUCCACAGAUUUUUGAUACUAUCCUGAUACAAAUUCACAUUUCAUCCUUUACUAUUCCAGCUCCCUUGUUUCUGCCUUCAGAAUUGAAUUCUGUUACUUGCUUACUGCUUUUUCCUUCUGCAAGCAAAUUCAUAAAAUGUUUCUGUUUCUGUAAUUGGAAUCCAGACCCUAACAUCUGCUGCUACAGAUUUUGUAUUCCCUGUAGUUUCAGUAUCACAGCUCCUUUUAAGAAUCCCUACACUAUUUCAUAAUCAUUCUUCUUACUUUUGUCAGUAAUUAAAUGCUUCACUUCAGUUCUUCAAUAAUCAAAGGCUACACAAAAUGAAUCCUUAUUCAAGCUGUUCUCAUUUGGAUUCAGAAUUGCAGAAUUCAGCAAGUCAAAUCUUCAGCAGCAACAAAUUACAGCUUCUUAAGCUCUGUUCCAGAAACAGAAUAUGAUUCAUAUCUAAAAUUUUCCACAGUUGGAUUGAUGUAGAAGUUAGUGAACUCCUCAAUUCAGCUUCCUCAAAAUCAGAAAUUUACAGAUCAGAUUUCUAACUCAGAGGGUAAACAAUCAGCAACCCAAAUGGGAGCAUCACAACAAUGUUCCUGGCAAUUACACCCACUAACUGAGUGAAAUAGACACUAGUAGAUAAUCACGGAUUGCUAAGAGCUUUCCAAGCAAAUCAGUACUAAAUUGGAUACACAGAUUUUCUUCUCAGAAAUCAGAUCUGUCCAUGGUUGUUACCACCAUCUAAGUUACUCCUUUCCCUGAUAUCAUUUCUGAACUUUUGAUACUACACUCAUUAAAAAUUAUCUAAAUUUUUGCACCUCACAGAAUACUGCAUUACAGAUUUGUACACCCAUUUGUUUUCUGAAAUCAGCUUCUGGAAAUUUUCCAGGUCUUCAUCACAAGGAAUUUCGGAAGAAAAGAAUACCAAAUGACAUUGAAAUGUCCAAUGCUUAAAUCACAUGUUUCACUGUAUUGAAAUUCCCGAAUUCAGGAACAGAUUCAAAAAGAAUUGACACUGAUUUCAUGAAUUCUGAUUAAAUGCUUCAGUUUAAGAACUUGGAACUUGGCAACAAAUUUCCAAAUUCAAUGUAUCAAGUUAAAACGUGCCAUUUCAGAUCUCAACUUAAUGAAUUUGCAGAAAUUACAAAGUAUAAGAUAGACAUGCAGCUCUCAGUGAGGUUUCCAAAUUUGAUAGUCUUCAUUAUCUUCCAUUCCUGCACAGCAGACUACUGAUUUCAACUUUGUAUCAAUCUGUCACGUUUAGUUACACAAAACUUCAAUACUUCUUUCAUUUUGUCUCUUAAGACUCUUCACAAUGCAUAACCUAAAACUUCCAAGUUUCUACAGUUUCUGCUCAUUACAAUUUCCUUCUCAAAUUGGCACAAAAAAUGUCAGCAUAAUUUCUGCAGAAUCUGCAUUUUCCAGAAUUCCAGAACAGUUGCAGAAUUCAGGAUUCCUGAUUCAGCAGCAGAUUUCAGAGAUCAACUUUUAUGAAUUUAGUAUCAGAAUUUAGAUUCUUGAAUUUGAUUCGUUUUGCAGCACCAGUAACUUGGUAGUGGAAGAUUCUUUUGGAUUUAAUUUCUGAUUAGCAACCUGCAAACAACUUGAUAUGCCACAAUUUCUUCAAGUGAUUUCCUUUUAAUGAAUUUUCCUGCAUUUCAGUUC